CGGCAUCAGCUCAAAUUUGAAAUCUGGCUCUUUCAGAGUCCGAGUUGUAAUUUGCAGAGGGCGCUUUGGUGUCGGCAGCGGUCCAAGUUCCUUGGAACAGGACGUCAGAGAGGGUGAGAAUCCCGU
This 126-nucleotide ribosomal RNA is filed under the name Pyrenochaetopsis sp. RNAcentral describes it as "partial large subunit ribosomal RNA". It matches the Rfam family "Eukaryotic large subunit ribosomal RNA", at positions 99 to 224 of the family's 3401-position model. The record is from RNAcentral. Lineage: Eukaryota; Fungi; Ascomycota; Dothideomycetes; Pleosporales; Pyrenochaetopsidaceae.